This 468-nucleotide ribosomal RNA is filed under the name uncultured bacterium. RNAcentral's name for it is "partial 16S ribosomal RNA". It matches the Rfam family "Bacterial small subunit ribosomal RNA", at positions 28 to 507 of the family's 1533-position model. The record is from RNAcentral.
GACGAACGCUGGCGGCGUGCUUAACACAUGCAAGUCGAACGGAAAGGCCCUGCUUUUGUGGGGUGCUCGAGUGGCGAACGGGUGAGUAACACGUGAGUAACCUGCCCUUGACUUUGGGAUAACUUCAGGAAACUGGGGCUAAUACCGGAUAGGAGCUCCUGCUGCAUGGGGGGGGUUGGAAAGUUUCGGCGGUUGGGGAUGGACUCGCGGCUUAUCAGCUUGUUGGUGGGGUAGUGGCUUACCAAGGCUUUGACGGGUAGCCGGCCUGAGAGGGUGACCGGCCACAUUGGGACUGAGAUACGGCCCAGACUCCUACGGGAGGCAGCAGGGGGGAAUCUUGCACAAUGGGCGGAAGCCUGAUGCAGCAACGCCGCGUGCGGGAUGACGGCCUUCGGGUUGUAAACCGCUUUCGCCUGUGACGAAGCGUGAGUGACGGUAAUGGGUAAAGAAGCACCGGCUAACUACGUG